GCUCCAAUAGCGUAUAUUAAAGUUGUUGCAGUUAAAAAAGCUCGUAGUUGGAUUUCUGGUGACGACGUUUGUCCGGGUCAAUGACUCUGCGACGUAACGUUAUUGCCAUCCUUGGGGAAAACUAGUCUGGCAUUAGGUUGUCGGGUUAGGGAUCCUCAUCGUUUACUGUGAAAAAAUUAGAGUGUUCAAAGCAGCUUACG
RNAcentral lists this ribosomal RNA (200 nucleotides) under uncultured eukaryote. RNAcentral's name for it is "partial 18S ribosomal RNA". It matches the Rfam family "Eukaryotic small subunit ribosomal RNA", at positions 588 to 789 of the family's 1831-position model. The record is from RNAcentral.